RNAcentral lists this ribosomal RNA (580 nucleotides) under uncultured bacterium. RNAcentral's name for it is "bacterial SSU rRNA". It matches the Rfam family "Bacterial small subunit ribosomal RNA", at positions 903 to 1482 of the family's 1533-position model. The record is from RNAcentral.
AAAUGAAUUGACGGGGGCCCGCACAAGCGGUGGAGCAUGUGGUUUAAUUCGAUGCAACGCGAAGAACCUUACCAAGUCUUGACAUCCUGCGAAUUUUCUAGAGAUAGAUUAGUGCCUUCGGGAGCGCAGUGACAGGUGCUGCAUGGCUGUCGUCAGCUCGUGUUGUGAAAUGUUGGGUUAAGUCCCGUAACGAGCGCAACCCUUGUCCUUAGUUGCUAGCAGGUUAUGCUGAGAACUCUAAGGAGACUGCCGGUGACAAACCGGAGGAAGGUGGGGACGACGUCAAGUCAUCAUGGCCCUUACGACUUGGGCUACACACGUGCUACAAUGGCCGGUACAAAGGGUUGCCAAGCCGCGAGGUGGAGCUAAUCUCAUAAAACUGGUCGUAGUCCGGAUUGGAGUCUGUAACUCGACUCCAUGAAGUCGGAAUCGCUAGUAAUCGUGAAUCAGAAUGUCACGGUGAAUACGUUCCCGGGCCUUGUACACACCGCCCGUCACACCAUGGGAGUGGGUUGCUCCAGAAGUGGCUAGUCUAACCUUCGGGGGGACGGCCACCACGGAGUGAUUCAUGACUGGGGUG